Molecule: ribosomal RNA, 890 nt
Filed under: Serratia sp. 741
Lineage: Bacteria; Pseudomonadati; Pseudomonadota; Gammaproteobacteria; Enterobacterales; Yersiniaceae
Description: bacterial SSU rRNA
Rfam family: Bacterial small subunit ribosomal RNA
Source: RNAcentral
AGGAGGAAAGGUGGGUGACCUUAUUACGCUCCAUCCAAUGACGUACUCGCCGGAAAGAAAGCACCGGCUAACUCCGUGCAGCAGCCCGCGGUAAUACGGAGGGUGCAAGCGUUAUUCGGAAAUUACCUGGGCGUAAAGCGCCACGCCAGGCGGUUUGUUAAGUCAGAAUGUGAAUCUCCGGGCUCAACCUGUGAACUGCAUUUGAAACUGGCAAGCUAGAGUCUCGUAGAGGGGGGUAGAAUUCCAGGUGUAGCGCUGAAAUGCGUAGAGAUCUGGAGGAAUACCGGUGGCGAAAGGCGGCCCCCUGGACGAAGACUGACGCUCAGGUGCGAAAGCGUGGGGAGCAAAACAGGAUUAGAUACCCUGGUAGUGCACGCUGUAAACGAUGUCGAUUUGGAGGUUGUGCCCUUGAGGCGUGGCUUCCGGAGCUAACGCGUUAAAUCGACCGCCUGGGGAGUACGGCCGCAAGGUUAAAACUCAAAUGAAUUGACGGGGGCCCGCACAAGCGGUGGAGCAUGUGGUUUAAUUCGAUGCAACGCGAAGAACCUUACCUACUCUUGACAUCCAGAGAACUUAGCAGAGAUGCUUUGGUGCCUUCGGGAACUCUGAGACAGGUGCUGCAUGGCUGUCGUCAGCUCGUGUUGUGAAAUGUUGGGUUAAGUCCCGCAACGAGCGCAACCCUUAUCCUUUGUUGCCAGCGGUUCGGCCGGGAACUCAAAGGAGACUGCCAGUGAUAAACUGGAGGAAGGUGGGGAUGACGUCAAGUCAUCAUGGCCCUUACGAGUAGGGCUACACACGUGCUACAAUGGCGUAUACAAAGAGAAGCGACCUCGCGAGAGCAAGCGGACCUCAUAAAGUACGUCGUAGUCCGGAUUGGAGUCUGCAACUCG